GGCCCGGUGGCUCAGCUGGUUAGAGCGCCGCCCUGUCACGGCGGAGGUCGACGGUUCGAACCCGUUCCGGGUCGCUA
RNAcentral lists this transfer RNA (77 nucleotides) under [Eubacterium] cellulosolvens 6. Its description in RNAcentral is "tRNA-Asp". It matches the Rfam family "tRNA". Rfam says of the family: Transfer RNA (tRNA) molecules are approximately 80 nucleotides in length. Their secondary structure includes four short double-helical elements and three loops (D, anti-codon, and T loops). The record is from RNAcentral. Lineage: Bacteria; Bacillati; Bacillota; Clostridia; Eubacteriales; Eubacteriaceae.